GAUGAAGAACGUAGCGAAAUGCGAUAAGUAAUGUGAAUUGCAGAAUUCAGUGAAUCAUCGAAUCUUUGAACGCACAUUGCGCCCCUUGGUAUUCCGAGGGGCAUGCCUGUUCGAGCGUCAUUAUAACCCUCAAGCUCAGCUUGGUGUUGGGGCCUGCUGCACUGGCAGCCCUUAAAAUCAGUGGCGGCGCCAUCUGGCUCUAAUCGUAGUAAUUCUUCUCGCUAUGGAGUCCUGGUGGAUGCUUGCCAUCAACCCCCAAUUUUUCUAUGGUUGACCUCGGAUCAGGUAGGGAUACCCGCUGAACUUAAGCAUAUCAAUAAGCGGAGGA
This 328-nucleotide unclassified non-coding RNA is filed under the name soil metagenome. Its description in RNAcentral is "partial contains 5.8S ribosomal RNA, internal transcribed spacer 2, and large subunit ribosomal RNA". The stretch from base 1 to 120 matches the Rfam family "5.8S ribosomal RNA", at positions 35 to 154 of the family's 154-position model. The record is from RNAcentral.